RNAcentral lists this ribosomal RNA (253 nucleotides) under uncultured prokaryote. RNAcentral describes it as "partial 16S ribosomal RNA". It matches the Rfam family "Bacterial small subunit ribosomal RNA", at positions 524 to 776 of the family's 1533-position model. The record is from RNAcentral.
UACGGAGGAUGCGAGCGUUAUCCGGAUUUAUUGGGUUUAAAGGGUGCGUAGGCGGGACAUCAAGUCAGCGGUGAAAGUUCGUGGCUUAACCACGAAAUUGCCGUUGAAACUGUUGUUCUUGAGUGUAGAUGAGGUAGGCGGAAUUCGUAGUGUAGCGGUGAAAUGCUUAGAUAUUACGAAGAACUCCAAUUGCGUAGGCAGCUUACUAGGCUACAACUGACGCUGAGGCACGAAGGUGCGGGUAUCAAACAGG